GACACAAGCUUGGGGUUGGGGGUAACUGAAAGGGUGAAUGAGGACAGAUGUGGUUUACUUGCAUGGAUGAAAAUAGAACAAUGAAGCCUGUGAAAGUGUUUCAAGAAGAUAGAGUGGGAUUGGAGAGAAUGGUAGAGGACACAAGGUUGAUGAAGAUACUUGGUGUACAUGUAUGGAAAUGUCACAGAGGAUCUCCUUGUACAACUAAUGGAUGCUAAUUUAUUUUUUAAAUCCAUGAAAGAGCUGCCUAACUUAAUGUUUCUACUGUUUCAAUCCAAACGUGUUUUCUCUCUCUAGUGUUAAUCCUAGGUAGAUCUUGUGCUUACUUAGUAAUAGUUGCCAUUGCAUUUUAAUAUUUGGUAUGGCCUGUUUUAAAUGGUAGAUUUAUGGAUGAUGUGCUUUUUUUUUAUGUGUUGUGACUCAUGACUGGAAAUGCAUGCCUGCUAAAUAUCACAUUCAUUCCAUAUUUUACCCCAUUCCAAGAAGUAUUUAUAGUGUUUUAUGUGUGAUAUGUUAAAAUAUCUUUAAAUGGUACUAUUCAUAUAGUAGGUUCUUAGCAAUCUCUGUGUGUCUCUAUGUGUGUGUCUCUCUCUUUUGGAAGUACUGGGAAUCAAACCCAGGGCCUUGUGAAUGUUCCACAAAUGCUUGACUACUGAGUUACAUCAUCAGCCUUAUAAUUUGUCUUUUAAGAAAAAAAAAUAAAAUAUACCACUCUUGGGCUCUAACAAAUUCUGUAUUGUUCCCUCUGCAGUUAAAGAGCAUCCUAAGUCAAGACUAUGAUUAUAUAGUAUCUGUUCUAAAACGCUAAGUCCAGUGCAGUAGCUGAAAGAGGGAUAUGAUAAAGUGGCUUACUCUGUUAACAGGUUAAGGGAAACUUAGUACAGUAGGAAAAAAAAAACAUGUUAAGCUGGGCACUUGUGGAACUAGAGAAGAAGAAGGAGGUGGAGGUGGUAGAAGAGGAGAAAGAGGAAGGGAA
Molecule: long non-coding RNA, 976 nt
Organism: Perognathus longimembris pacificus (Pacific pocket mouse)
Lineage: Eukaryota; Metazoa; Chordata; Mammalia; Rodentia; Heteromyidae
Exons: 3
Source: RefSeq, a predicted model, not a curated record